Molecule: ribosomal RNA, 1358 nt
Filed under: uncultured Sphingobium sp.
Lineage: Bacteria; Pseudomonadati; Pseudomonadota; Alphaproteobacteria; Sphingomonadales; Sphingobiaceae
Description: 16S ribosomal RNA
Rfam family: Bacterial small subunit ribosomal RNA
Source: RNAcentral
GGACGGGUGCGUAACGCGUGGGAAUCUGCGCUUGGGUUGGGAAUAACUUCGGGAAACUGACGCUAAUACCGGAUGAUGACGAAAGUCCAAAGAUUUAUCGCCGGGGGGGGAGCCCGCGUAGGAUUAGCUAGUUGGUGGGGUAAAGGCCUACCAAGGCGACGAUCCUUAGCUGGUCUGAGAGGAUGAUCAGCCACACUGGGACUGAGACACGGCCCAGACUCCUACGGGAGGCAGCAGUAGGGAAUAUUGGACAAUGGGCGAAAGCCUGAUCCAGCAAUGCCGCGUGAGUGAUGAAGGCCUUAGGGUUGUAAAGCUCUUUUACCCGAGAUGAUAAUGACAGUAUCGGGAGAAUAAGCUCCGGCUAACUCCGUGCCAGCAGCCGCGGUAAUACGGAGGGAGCUAGCGUUGUUCGGAAUUACUGGGCGUAAAGCGCACGUAGGCGGCGAUUUAAGUCAGAGGUGAAAGCCCGGGGCUCAACCCCGGAACUGCCUUUGAGACUGGAUUGCUAGAAUCUUGGAGAGGCGAGUGGAAUUCCGAGUGUAGAGGUGAAAUUCGUAGAUAUUCGGAAGAACACCAGUGGCGAAAGCGGCUCGCUGGACAAGUAUUGACGCUGAGUGCGAANGCGUGGGGAGCAANNNGAUUAGAUACNNUGGUAGUCCACGCNNNAACGAUGAUAACUAGCUGCUGGGNCACAUGGNNNUUCGGUGGCGCAGCUAACGCAUUAAGUUAUCCGCCUGGGGAGUACGGUCGCAAGAUUAAAACUCAAAGGAAUUGACGGGGGCCUGCACAAGCGGUGGAGCAUGUGGUUUAAUUUGAAGCAACGCGCAGAACCUUACCAGCGUUUGACAUCCUCAUCGCGGAUUUCAGAGAUGAUUUCCUUCAGUUCGGCUGGAUGAGUGACAGGUGCUGCAUGGCUGUCGUCAGCUCGUGUCGUGAGAUGUUGGGUUAAGUCCCGCAACGAGCGCAACCCUCGCCUUUAGUUGCCAGCAUUUAGUUGGGUACUCUAAAGGAACCGCCGGUGACAAGCCGGAGGAAGGUGGGGAUGACGUCAAGUCCUCAUGGCCCUUACGCGCUGGGCUACACACGUGCUACAAUGGCGACUACAGUGGGCUGCAACCGUGCGAGCGGUAGCUAAUCUCCAAAAGUCGUCUCAGUUCGGAUUGUUCUGUGCAACUCGAGCGCAUGAAGGGGGAAUCGAUUGUAAUCGCAGAUCAGCAUGCCGCGGGGAAUACGUUCCCAGCCCUUGUCCACACCCCCCGUCACACCAUGGGAUUGGGAUUCACCGGAAGGCACUGCCCUACCCCGCAAGGGAGGCAGCCGACCACGGUGGGAUUAGAGACUGGGGGAAGUCGUAACAA